Molecule: non-coding RNA, 1442 nt
Organism: Camelina sativa (false flax)
Lineage: Eukaryota; Viridiplantae; Streptophyta; Magnoliopsida; Brassicales; Brassicaceae
Source: RefSeq, a predicted model, not a curated record
UUAGAACAAGUGUCAAAUGGGUAAUGGGUGGAGUUUUAGUGAAAAAAAAAAUGAAAAAAAAAGAAAUUUUUGCGCGUAAUUUUUUUUUUCUUCUUUCUCUUUCGUUGUCUCUCUCGUUAUCAACUAUGGUCAUUGAUCUUAAGCCGAGCUUGGGUCCGGGGCACAAGUAAAGAAAAGAAUCAUCCGCUUUCCGCCUAAUUGGAUCCUCUUGAAUCAUGUAUCUAUGUUUUUGUUGAGGUUAAUUGAAUUUGAAGCAAUGGCGACAAUGGGUUUCUUCUAUUUUUUUGGAUCCGGCAAAAAAUCUUGAUGAUCAGAAAAAAUGUUCAGGUUAGUUUAUAUUCCAAAAAGAUUGAGCUUUUAACAAAUUCCAAUCAGAUUCGGGAAAACUUACUUUGGUGAUUAGCUUCUUGUGUAUUGUAUUUGUAAAUCAUUAGUACCCUUUUAUCUCCAAAAUUCUUGGAUUUUUAGGUUAUCUCAUUAUCUGAUCAGUGUCUGGGGUAACAGAAUAAGUUUAUGUUCUAAAUAUAUCAAGAAUGAGAAAUUGGUGUUCCUAUUAAUCUCUUCUAUAUAUGGUUUACAUGGCUGGAGAAGAUGUGUCUUGAGAGUUGUAAUCUCUAUUAUCAUCUGCUUUUAUUGGAUGUUUUGGAUAAUUUUUUUCAAACAGUAACUUGUUAUUCUGCUGUUGGAAGAGGCCUAUCAAGUGCUAAGUGAUUAUGGAAAACGCCAAGCUUAUGAUGCUUGUGCGAAGUCAGGGAUCUUUACGUUAGUCUCUUUUUCAUUUGUGGAUCUUCUAGUGAACUUUUUGAAGGGUACAUAGGACAGCUUGCUAUGGUAUCAAUGGCUUCACUUGAUAGCUUCACUGAAGGGAACCACAAAGCCCCUACGUAGAAGAAAUCAAACAAAUAUGUGAUAAACAAAGACGAAUUUGUCAGUAAAGCUGAAGGUGAAAUAGCUAGACUCUCAAACGCAUGUAAUAUAUUCUGUGAAGUGUUCUCUGUUUAGUAGUUAUGCUUUCUCUUUCAAUCAAUGCCAUCUCUGUUCUGAAACGAUUCUCACCCUCUUCUAUUUUGAUAUCCUUCAGCUUAUGGUGGAUAUGUUGAAUACAAUUGGGUAUAUAUAUGUAAGACAAGCAACAAAAGAGUUAGGGAAGAAAGCUAAUUAUCUCGAAGUACUAUUAGUUGCUGAAUGAUUUAGGAACAAAUGUCAUUUCAUCAAAUCUCAAUUAACAGCUGCAACAGGUUAGAUUAAAGUCAAAACUAAACUUUUCUUUCAACUUCAAAACUGAAUAUAAAACAAACUUUUCUUUCAACUUCAAAACUGAAUACUGAGGAUUCUUUUUCAUGUUUUGAUUGUAUAUUUUCAUGUUUGCUUGUACUUAAAGCAAGUUUUUGAAAACAAAUGUAAGAACUUUGAAUUAAGAACUUUACCAUUGGAAUUAUAUU